Thalassophryne amazonica is the source of this 224-nucleotide long non-coding RNA. RefSeq lists it as uncharacterized. The record is from RefSeq and is a predicted model, not a curated record. The transcript has 3 exons. Lineage: Eukaryota; Metazoa; Chordata; Actinopteri; Batrachoidiformes; Batrachoididae.
UUUAUAGAUAUAAAAAAAAAUAGUGCCACGGGCACUGUAGCUCACCUGGAUGAUACAAUACAUCACAGUUUCAGCUGGAUAAGUGGGCAUGGCCAAAGUACAAAUGUCGUAUCAAAGUCAAAUGAAAAGAAAAAAAAAAAACAAAUCUUAAAAACCCAUUGGAAAUGUUUUGGAGCUACCUUCUAGCUACACUUGUGCCAAAUUUCAGCUCAAUAUCUUUAAAG